Ameiurus melas (black bullhead) is the source of this 74-nucleotide non-coding RNA. The record is from the annotation of a GenBank genome assembly. Lineage: Eukaryota; Metazoa; Chordata; Actinopteri; Siluriformes; Ictaluridae.
UGUUGAGUAUGUUCAGUGGUUAGCACGUUCGCCUCACACCUCCAGGGUCCGGGGUUCGAUUCCCGCCGGGGCCA